Molecule: long non-coding RNA, 793 nt
Filed under: Salmo salar (Atlantic salmon)
Lineage: Eukaryota; Metazoa; Chordata; Actinopteri; Salmoniformes; Salmonidae
Description: lncRNA (ENSSSAG00000103081.1)
Source: RNAcentral
CAGGUCUCCAUGUAACCCAGGUCCCCAUGUAACCCAGGUCUCCAUGUAACCCAGGUCCCCAUGUAACCCAGGUCUCCAUGUAACCCAGGUCUCCAUGUAACCAAAAUCCCCAUGUAACCCAGGUCCCCAUGUAACCAUGUAACCCCAGUCCCCAUGUAACCCAGGUCCCCAUGUAACACCAGUCCCCAUGUAACCCCAGUCCCCAUGUAACCCAGGUCUCCAUGUAACCCAGGUCCCCAUGUAACCCAGGUCCCCAUGUAUUUCCCCAUGUAACCCAGGACUCCAUGUAACCCAGGUCUCCAUGUAACCCAGGUCCCCAUGUAUUUCCCCAUGUAACCCAGGACUCCAUGUAACCCAGGUCCCCAUGUAACCAUGUCACCCAGGUCCCCAUGUAACCCAGGUCCCCAUGUAACCCAGGACUCCAUGUAACCCAGGUCCCCAUGUAACCCAGGUCCCCAUGUAACCCAGGACUCCAUGUAACCCCAGUCACCAUCUAUUUCCCCAUGUAACCCAGGUCCCCAUGUAACCCAGGUCUCCAUGUAACCCCAGUCACCAUAUAUUUCCCCAUGUAACCCAGGUCUCCAUGUAACCCCGGUCCUGAGGAGAAGGGAAUGGCAGGCUGAAUACCACUACCCAAAACACACACACACACAGAGAGAGAGAGAACACCAAGGUCAUCCCUAGCUCACAUUCUCUGCUCUGGUCAACGAUUGUAUUCAGGUUGUCGUGGAGACCCCAGCGCCACGGACACCAAACACUUUGUUUGCAGAGGUCAGAAGAACCCAAAUCACCC